Molecule: ribosomal RNA, 466 nt
Filed under: uncultured bacterium
Lineage: Bacteria
Description: partial 16S ribosomal RNA
Rfam family: Bacterial small subunit ribosomal RNA
Source: RNAcentral
GACGAACGCUGGCGGUGUGCUUAACACAUGCAAGUCGAACGGUAAGGCCCUUUCGGGGGUACACGAGUGGCGCACUGGUGAGUAACACGUGAGUAACCUGCCCUCAUCUCUGGGAUAACAGUCGGAAACGGUUGCUAAUACUGGAUAUGAGCUUGCAAGGCAUCUUGUGGGUUGGAAAGAUUUUUUUGGUUGGGGAUGGACUCGCGGCCUAUCAGCUUGUUGGUGAGGUAGUGGCUCACCAAGGCUUCGACGGGUAGCCGGCCUGAGAGGGCGACCGGCCACAUUGGGACUGAGAUACGGCCCAAACUCCUACGGGAGGCAGCAGUGGGGAAUAUUGCACAAUGGACGGAAGUCUGAUGCAGCAACGCCGCGUGCGGGAUGACGGCCUUCGGGUUGUAAACCGCUUUCAAUUGUGACGAAGCUUUUUGUGACGGUAGCAGUAGAAGAAGCACCGGCUAACUACGUG